This 118-nucleotide ribosomal RNA is filed under the name Pteropus alecto (black flying fox). The record is from RNAcentral. Lineage: Eukaryota; Metazoa; Chordata; Mammalia; Chiroptera; Pteropodidae.
GUCUAUGGUCAUGCUACCCUGAACAAGCCCGAUCCCAUCUGAUCUCGGAAGCUAAGCAGGGUGGGCCUGAUUAGUACUUGGAUGGGAGACCACCUAAGAAGACCAGAUGAUAUAGGCA